UACGUAGGGGGCAAGCGUUGUCCGGAAUCAUUGGGCGUAAAGCGCGCGUAGGCGGCCCUGUAAGUCCGUUGUGAAAGUCGAAGGCUCAACCUUCGAAAGCCGAUGGAUACUGCAGGGCUAGAGUCCGGUAGGGGACCACGGAAUUCCUGGUGUAGCGGUGAAAUGCGCAGAUAUCAGGAGGAACACCGGUGGCGAAGGCGGUGGUCUGGGCCGGCACUGACGCUGAGGAGCGAAAGCGUGGGUAGCAAACAGG
Molecule: ribosomal RNA, 253 nt
Filed under: uncultured bacterium
Lineage: Bacteria
Description: partial 16S ribosomal RNA
Rfam family: Bacterial small subunit ribosomal RNA
Source: RNAcentral